Molecule: ribosomal RNA, 489 nt
Filed under: Butyrivibrio proteoclasticus
Lineage: Bacteria; Bacillati; Bacillota; Clostridia; Lachnospirales; Lachnospiraceae
Description: bacterial SSU rRNA
Rfam family: Bacterial small subunit ribosomal RNA
Source: RNAcentral
CGGACGGCCACAUUGGGACUGAGACGCGGCCCAAACUCCUACGGGAGGCAGCAGUGGGGGAUAUUGCACAAUGGAGGAAACUCUGAUGCAGCGACGCCGCGUGAGUGAAGAAGUAUUUCGGUAUGUAAAGCUCUAUCAGCAGGGAAGAAAGGCUCGCAAGAGAGAUGACGGUACCUGACUAAGAAGCCCCGGCUAACUACGUGCCAGCAGCCGCGGUAAUACGUAGGGGGCAAGCGUUAUCCGGAUUUACUGGGUGUAAAGGGAGCGCAGACGGUCAAGCAAGUCUGAAGUGAAACCCCACGGCUCAACCGUGGGCUUGCUUUGGAAACUGUUUGACUAGAGUACUGGAGAGGUAAGCGGAAUUCCUAGUGUAGCGGUGAAAUGCGUAGAUAUUAGGAGGAACAUCGGUGGGGAAGGCGGCUUANUGGACAGCAACUGACGUUGAGGCUCGGAUACGUGGGGAGCAAACAGGAUUAGAUACCCUGGUAG